Long non-coding RNA from Sciurus carolinensis (gray squirrel), 714 nucleotides. RefSeq lists it as uncharacterized. NCBI's taxonomy places the organism in Eukaryota, Metazoa, Chordata, Mammalia, Rodentia, Sciuridae. The record is from RefSeq and is a predicted model, not a curated record. The transcript has 4 exons.
CUGACCACCAGCGGACGUGGUGGGCGCCUGCGGACUCCGGCUCCGAGGUACCAGAACGUGGAGACGUCGGAGAGAUAAGACCCGUGCGGAACUCUCCACCCCACCCAGUGCGUCCUCGCUCCAAAGUCCCCAGCGCGGUGCGGCCCCCGGCACAGCGCGGAUCCGGGAACCCACAAGGCAGGCUCGGCGUGUCCCGCCGGGGCGCCUCCCGUCGCUGCGCCGGGAGAGGCCUCCUGUAGCUGGGGCCCUUUCCAAGCACAACAGCCGCCCCGUCGCGGCCCCGCGCUGACCCACUUUACCUCCCGCCUCCCCAGCCCCAGGCCGAGAAUAAACGAGGCCUCCGCCAAGCAGAAGCUUUGAGGAGAGUAACUGCCUUUGUUACAUGCUCCUGCCACAAUAUUCUGCCUCAUCUCAGCUCCAAAAAUAACAGUGUCAUGGACUGAAACUUCAAAACUAUGAGUCUGAAACCUCUAAAACUGAGACACUAGAGGAUGUGCUUUGCCAAAACAAGCAAGCAAACCAAGAAAGAAAAGAAGACAGGGGAUGUAGUUCCUGGAGAGGACAAAAGAAGCCCAGAAGGGAGGCUUCCAGGGAAGGGAGAAUUACUAGAUAAUCUGAGGUAUUUUUCAUAGUGCCAGGAAGCUAAGACAUUUCUGCCAUGUUGUACAGGUCCUGGGUACAGUGUAGGAAGAUUCUACAAGAGGUUUUAUUGGG